CAGAGGCGAGAUGGACUGAAUAUCUAGCACACGUAGUGAUGCACUGAUGGCUGAUGCUCACACGUAUGUAGUGCUGACUGAAGCACAUCGUUGGCGCCUGCAGCUGAGAUCACCGGGAACUGCAUACAGAUACAGUUGCUCUGACCUCUGAAUAAUCGCAGCAGCCCUCUUUUGGAUGUGUGUGCAGCGUACACUGACGCACUGUAUCUGUAUAGACCGAAGCUGUUGCAGCUGAAUAGCUGAUGUCCAUGGCUGCGGUCGUUAGUCGUUUGCAGUCCAAAGAUGCCUGGAAAUAAGAACACACGGU
RNAcentral lists this long non-coding RNA (307 nucleotides) under Setaria viridis. RNAcentral's name for it is "long non-coding RNA (SVIR_LNC006047)". The record is from RNAcentral. Lineage: Eukaryota; Viridiplantae; Streptophyta; Magnoliopsida; Poales; Poaceae.